ACCAGACUCCUACGGGAGGCAGCAGUGGGGGAUAUUGCACAAUGGGGGGAACCCUGAUGCAGCGACGCCGCGUGAACGAAGAAAUAUUUCGGUAUGUAAAGCCCUAUCGGCAGGGAAGAAGCAAGACGGUACCUGACUAAGAAGCCCCGGCUAACUACGUGCCAGCAGCCGCGGUAAUACGUAGGGGGCGAGCGUUAUCCGGAUUCACUGGGUGUAAAGGGAGCGUAGACGGCCAAGCAAGCCAGGGGUGAAAGCCCGGGGCCCAACCCCGGGACUGCCCUUGGAACUGCUUGGCUGGAGUGCGGGAGGGGCAGGCGGAAUUCCUGGUGUAGCGGUGAAAUGCGUAGAUAUCAGGAGGAACACCGGCGGCGAAGGCGGCCUGCUGGACCGCGACUGACGUUGAGGCUCGAAAGCGUGGGGAGCAAACAGGAUUAGAUACCCCUGUA
Molecule: ribosomal RNA, 446 nt
Filed under: uncultured bacterium
Lineage: Bacteria
Description: bacterial SSU rRNA
Rfam family: Bacterial small subunit ribosomal RNA
Source: RNAcentral